Molecule: ribosomal RNA, 480 nt
Filed under: uncultured bacterium
Lineage: Bacteria
Description: partial 16S ribosomal RNA
Rfam family: Bacterial small subunit ribosomal RNA
Source: RNAcentral
GACGAACGCUGGCGGCGUGCCUAAAACAUGCAAGUCGAACGGUGACGAGAGAACUUGCUCUCUCUGAUCAGUGGCGUACGGGUGAGUAACACGUGAGUAAUCUGCCGGUCUGUGGGGGAUACCGUCCCGAAAGGGACGUUAAUACCGCAUAGGUCGAUGGCUCCGCCUGGAGCUGUCGGGAAAGAUUUAUCGCAGAUCGAGGAGCUCGCGACCUAUCAGCUAGUUGGUGUAGUAACGGUGCACCAAGGCGACGACGGGUAGCCGGCCUGAGAGGGUGAUCGGCCACACGGGGACUGAGACACGGCCCAGACUCCUACGGGGGGCAGCAGUUGGGAAUCUUGCGCAAUGGGGGAAACCCUGACGCAGCGACGCCGCGUGCGGGAUGACGGUCUUCGGAUUGUAAACCGCUUUUCUCGGGGACGAUAAUGACGGUACCCGAGGAAUCAGCCCCGGCUAACUCCGUGCCAGCCGCCGCAGUAA